GCCAGUUGUCCCCUCGACAGUGACUGAAGAACAGAACCCACUAAUCUUUCUCCAAUUCUCCAUGAGAAUAUCAUCACGAGUUGUCUCCAUGAGAAUAUGAUUCGAGCCACUAACCUAUCCAGCUGAUCGAUAACAUGGAACCAGAUUCGCUGCGCGAAAGCGAAUUCCAUUAGCAAGUGGUCCAUCAUCUCCGCUGUAGAAGGCAUAAGGGAUAGUGAGGCAUAUGUGGAUGUUGAAGACCAGCUUGAUCUUGUCGUGCUAGCCAAAGGAAGAACUUGCAGCGCAACACAAUGAUGUCCAGGACUUCCAGUACAGAACAGCUUGCACCCUAGCCCUGGAUGUGCCACCGCCAAGAGAGCUAAUUCGAACAGCGCCCGAGAAGAAGGAGCUCCCUUCUGCCGACAUAUAUACUGAUCCACCUUCAUUUUAUCAUAGAUGGCAUAAGUUUGAUGCUGAUAAGUGCACUUGUUUCUGGGAGCAUAACAUUUGC
This is a long non-coding RNA of Phragmites australis (common reed), 490 nucleotides long. RefSeq lists it as uncharacterized. The record is from RefSeq and is a predicted model, not a curated record. NCBI's taxonomy places the organism in Eukaryota, Viridiplantae, Streptophyta, Magnoliopsida, Poales, Poaceae. The transcript is spliced from 3 exons.